UACGUAGGGUGCGAGCGUUGUCCGGAAUUAUUGGGCGUAAAGGGCUCGUAGGCGGUCUGUUGCGUCGGCUGUGAAAACCCGGGGCUCAACUCCGGGCCUGCAGCCGAUACGGGCAGACUAGAGUUCGGCAGGGGAGACUGGAAUUCCUGGUGUAGCGGUGAAAUGCGCAGAUAUCAGGAGGAACACCGGUGGCGAAGGCGGGUCUCUGGGCCGAUACUGACGCUGAGGAGCGAAAGCGUGGGGAGCGAACAGG
RNAcentral lists this ribosomal RNA (253 nucleotides) under uncultured bacterium. RNAcentral describes it as "partial 16S ribosomal RNA". It matches the Rfam family "Bacterial small subunit ribosomal RNA", at positions 524 to 776 of the family's 1533-position model. The record is from RNAcentral.